GCGCCCGUAGCUCAGCUGGACCAGAGCACGAGCCUUCUAAGCUUGAGGUCGCAGGUUCGAAUCCUGCCGGGCGCGCCA
Molecule: transfer RNA, 78 nt
Filed under: Alphaproteobacteria bacterium
Lineage: Bacteria; Pseudomonadati; Pseudomonadota; Alphaproteobacteria
Also listed under: 1 other name
Description: tRNA-Arg
Rfam family: tRNA
About the family: Transfer RNA (tRNA) molecules are approximately 80 nucleotides in length. Their secondary structure includes four short double-helical elements and three loops (D, anti-codon, and T loops).
Source: RNAcentral